Molecule: ribosomal RNA, 436 nt
Filed under: uncultured Anaerovorax sp.
Lineage: Bacteria; Bacillati; Bacillota; Clostridia; Peptostreptococcales; Anaerovoracaceae
Description: bacterial SSU rRNA
Rfam family: Bacterial small subunit ribosomal RNA
Source: RNAcentral
ACGGAAGGCAGCAGUGGGGGAUAUUGCACAAUGGGCGCAAGCCUGAUGCAGCAACGCCGCGUGAGCGAUGAAGGUCUUCGGAUCGUAAAGCUCUGUCCAUAGGGAAGAAACAAAUGACGGUACCUGUGGAGGAAGCCCCGGCUAACUACGUGCCAGCAGCCGCGGUAAUACGUAGGGGGCAAGCGUUAUCCGGAAUCAUUGGGCGUAAAGGGUGCGUAGGCGGCUUUGUAAGCGUAGGGUGAAAGGCAUUGGCUUAACCGGUGUUAGCCUUACGAACUGCAUGGCUUGAGUACAGGAGAGGAAAGCGGAAUUCCUAGUGUAGCGGUGAAAUGCGUAGAUAUUAGGAGGAACACCAGUGGCGAAGGCGGCUUUCUGGACUGACACUGACGCUGAGGCACGAAAGCGUGGGGAGCAAACAGGAUUAGAUACCCUGGUA